This 468-nucleotide ribosomal RNA is filed under the name uncultured bacterium. RNAcentral describes it as "partial 16S ribosomal RNA". It matches the Rfam family "Bacterial small subunit ribosomal RNA", at positions 28 to 507 of the family's 1533-position model. The record is from RNAcentral.
GACGAACGCUGGCGGCGUGCUUAACACAUGCAAGUCGAACGGAAAGGCCCUGCUUUUGUGGGGUGCUCGAGUGGCGAACGGGUGAGUAACACGUGAGUAACCUGCCCUUGACUUUGGGAUAACUUCAGGAAACUGGGGCUAAUACCGGAUAGGAGCUCGUGCUGCAUGGUGGGGGUUGGAAAGUUUCGGCGGUUGGGGAUGAACUCGCGGCUUAUCAGCUUGUUGGUGGGGUAGUGGCUUACCAAGGCUUUGACGGGUAGCCGGCCUGAGAGGGUGACCGGCCACAGUGGGACUGAGGUACGGCCCAGACUCCUACGGGAGGCAGCAGUGGGGAAUAGUGCACAAUGGGCGGAAGCCUGAUGCAGCAACGCCGCGUGCGGGAUGACGGCCUUCGGGUUGUAAACCGUUUUCGCCUGUGACGAAGCGUGAGUGACGGUAAUGUGUAAAGAAGCACCGGCUAACUACGUG